Molecule: transfer RNA, 72 nt
Filed under: Danionella translucida
Lineage: Eukaryota; Metazoa; Chordata; Actinopteri; Cypriniformes; Danionidae
Also listed under: 1 other name
Rfam family: tRNA
About the family: Transfer RNA (tRNA) molecules are approximately 80 nucleotides in length.
Source: Rfam by way of RNAcentral
GGCUCGUUGGUCUAGGGGUAUGAUUCUCGCUUCGCGUGCGCGAGGUCCCGGGUUCAAUUCCCGGAGGAGCCC